Molecule: ribosomal RNA, 537 nt
Filed under: uncultured bacterium
Lineage: Bacteria
Description: bacterial SSU rRNA
Rfam family: Bacterial small subunit ribosomal RNA
Source: RNAcentral
AGAGUUUGAUCCUGGCUCAGGAUGAACGCUGGCGGCGUGCCUAAUACAUGCAAGUCGCACGAGAAAGGGCUUCGGCCCCAGUAAAGUGGCGCACGGGUGAGUAACACGUAGGCAAUCUGCCCUCGAGUGGUGGAUAACCCUCCGAAAGGAGGGCUAAUACAGCAUAAGACCACGACUUCACUGAAGUUGCGGCCAAAGUAGGCCUCUCCAUGGAAGCUUACGCUUGAGGUUGAGCCUGCGGCCCAUCAGGUAGUUGGUAGGGUAAUGGCCUACCAAGCCUAAGACGGGUAGCUGGUCUGAGAGGAUGAACAGCCACACUGGAACUGAGACACGGUCCAGACUCCUACGGGAGGCAGCAGUAGGGAAUCUUGCGCAAUGGGCGAAAGCCUGACGCAGCGACGCCGCGUGAGCGAUGAAGGCCUUCGGGUUGUAAAGCUCUGUGGGGAGGGAAGAAUAAGGCUUGGCUAAUAUCCAAGCUGAUGACGGUACCUCCUUAGCAAGCACCGGCUAACUCUGUGCCAGCCGCCGCGGUAAUUC